CUACAGUGGAUAACAACAUAGAGGAACAGCAAGCAAACAUAUGUUUGUGCCAAAUUAAUUUUCUGGUGUUGGUCGUCGACGCAAUCUCCCAAGGCGCCUCCAGGGACCUGACCCUCCAUCAGACUGUUCAUUGUCGUCAUCUCUAGAUUCAGUUUCCCCAUCAUAGGUCUCACCCCAAAGUCUUCUCGAAGGUCGUCUCCUACCAGUUGCCUGAGCUCGAGUCCUUGAGGAGCCUGUCCAGCUACUACUACCUCUCGAAGUUCGUAUCCUACCAGUUGCUUGAGCUCGAGUCCUUGAGGAGCCUGACCAGCUACUACUACCAGAAUUACUCCUAGGCUGGAGAAUCCGAACAAAAAGAAAAACAGUCAGCAAACCACCACCCUCAUCGAAGGUUAAACUGGUGCUCUCACUUCCCUCUUCUCCAACAGAAGACUGCAACGUACUGAGUAAAUCUCCUAAAUCUCUCUGCCGCUCCAAUCUCCGCCAAUUACGCUGCCUCUCUGGGUCAGUUUCUGUAGGCCGUACAAGGGGAUGCUCCUGCCUAGCGUGCUUACGCAGAUCUGUAUAUGCGCCACUGAAUUCGCAUGUCUCGCUAGAGCAGCUUCUUAAUUUUGCAUUCAUGUACCGACGGGCAGAGUCCACGACAAUCCAAUCAUUUAUCUGGCCACGGCAGAGAGGGCAUAGCAUCUUUUUCUUUUCAUGGUUCUCGCAAGACAAGGCACCUAGGGAUAUAGAACCACCUUCAGUUCUUUCACCUGGCAGAUCAGACAGAGCAUCGGUUAUCACUGUGGUAGAUUCCGCGAUAGAAGCUGAACCUGGGAUCUCCACUUGCUGUGUUGUUGCUGAAGCUUCUUCAAAUGACUUUUUGAACUGGUCAAAACAAUUUGAAUGUCUAUAGCUCGUAUCACACAUAAAAGGACGGCAGCCCUUCUCAUGGGAAGUGCACAAAAGGAGAAUAGCAUUAUGAGGAUGUUCCAUACACACUGGGCACCGGGCAUCUUCCCAGUCUUUCACAUUUUUGUCGUUUUCCAAAGGGUUUUUGAGUGACGGUUUUGAGUGACUUGAGCUACAAUGGUAAGGAGAAGCUCUACUCCUAUCAAAAGAAACAGAUCUAUCUCUUCUCUCUUUAGGCAUGUUUGUUUCUAUAUGAAUAUAGAACAACUGUCAAAGGACAAAAGAUAAUAUAAGCAAUGCUGAAAAUAAAAAUCCAAGAAACAUCUUCCUAAAAACCGAUAUAGAAAAAAUAACAAGUGUAUGCACACUACAAGUUAAAGGAGUGGUAAUAAAGGAUAAAAGAAUUUGUGGGUGUAUCCGAAGGACAUUAUACAAACCAGAAAUUAACAAAGAGUCGCAACAUACAUCAGGAAUUAACAAUAGAUAACAGUUGAUGACAGAAAAUUGAUGUAUAAACUAAGCCAGAACUAAGACAUUCCCCCCUAAAAUAGUACAACCAACUAAAAAUUUAAAAUUGACAUCAUAUAACACUCAACAAUCAGCAUAGCUUCAAAUCCUAAAUUAGAUGGGAACUCAUGAUUUCUAUGUAUCAAUUCCUCUAUUUUCAGGCCCGUCCCCUUCCAAUACGAGUAAACAAUUUUUCUUUUAAAACAAUUAGAGUGCUCUAGACCUAAGAUAUAUGUUUCUCACGGCUAUACCCCGACGCUGAGAUACAAUUUCUAACCAGGCAACUGGCAAGCACCAUAUUAAAUGUAAGUAUAACAAACAACCUACACCAAAAGAUCAAACAAUUAAGUAUUGCCAUCAUUUGCUUGUAUUGUGCCAAAUGUGCCUUAUUGGAAUGGAUGUUAGUGUAACCAUUCCUUCCUGGGAUUUUAGGUAUGUAAAAUCCCCUUUUAGUACAUCAAUUACCAUAGUGCCACACCGAUGAACCGAUGCACUGCUUCGAGGUCUUUUGUGGGGACAUGAACAACCUUUUCAAGCUAUCUACUCUCAUUUUAUCCUUUAUGCAUGCUACUUGCAUCCUCCAUCGGAUAAUAUCAUCUCUAAACCAUAUACACAAAAAAGUAUUUGUGAAAAAUUCCAUAAAAUUGAACAAGAGCGGACUGCAGCAAAAAAACCGCUGGACCACAAAGCUUUAGCAUUCUACACUCCUUGAAUCUCGGGAACAUUAAUGUUGCACAUUGCCAUUAAGUUUGCAAAACAUACAAAGAACAUAAGGGAAGCCAGUACUGUCAAGGUGAAAAGGCUCUUUAAGCCAAAUGAAUUCAUCUCCUCCUGAAUUUAUCAGGAGCCAUGAAAACCAUGCUGCAUCUAAUCCAAAUAAAAUUGUGCUCGUCGGAAAAUCCCAUCUCCAGUAUGUGUCAACAUUGUAACACCCAAUAGAUAUGUCUUCAGUCCCACUUAAUGAAUAGCCAUUAAUUAGGGUGACAACUCACGUAUCCUGACCAAAUAUUGCACAUUGUAUGGUUCAGGAUGCACAUAAAAUAUAUGAUACCGUCUUUCACAGCAAUCUAUCUUGCAAGAGCCAUCAGUAGAUAUUAAUUCCCCUCAGCCAUGCAACUAAAAACACAGAAGUUCGGUUUCCCACCAAACUCCUCGGCAUAAUGCAUUUGGGUGAGGUAAUCUGUUGAAACAGAAGAGAACAAUAUCCCAUGUUUUCACUAGCAUCAACCCAAACCGAAGGGAGCAUCCACCCUCACAUGUGGCUCACCAUAAGCAAAAGGCAAAAGUCCACAACAUACCGAGGCUUCAAAACUCAACAAAAAGUCUAAAUCAAUCUUUAUCUGUCAUAUUGAUAAUGAUCCAUUUGAGAACAUCAUUUAUUUGCACACCAAAAGUUUAUUUCUUCUUCCUCAAAACCACAACUACUACACCUCAACCCAAACAAGUUGGGUCGGCUAUAUGAAUCCUCACAUACCACGUUAGUCUAUUUAAAUUCUUCUUCUUCAAUACACCGAUAUAAAAUUCAAAACUUCUUACGUUACCCAUGUCAAAUACAUUUAGUAUACCAAUUUAAUUUAUCAAAAGUUUCCAAGCUCCUGUUGUCAAACGAAUCUCCUAUACCAAUUCACUAAUCGACCAACAGUUUCGCAGAUGAUAAAGUAAACAUAAUCAAAACCAGCAAGAUUCAUCCACCAUGAAACAACCCAUACCAACCGACAUUCACACAACAGAACUAAUCAUUAACAAUCAUAUCAUGUGUAAUUACCUUAUCAACAUAAAACCCAGUGACUAUAAGCAAAGCUCGGAUCAGAAGAAACAUAAUCAAUAAUCUAUUAGCAUUUCUCACUUCCCAACUCCAACAUGCUCACAAGUUCGUAACAGAUUUCAGCUUGAAACAUUAGCUAAAGCACUUCUUCUAUUUAAAACCACUACUACAAAUUCAAACAUAUCCAGUUUCAAUUUAAUAAAUAACAGUUAAACAACCACAACCCUAAAUCAAAUUUCAGCUCAGAACGUUGAUCUCAAGUAAUCCACCAAUCAAGAAUAAAAUCUUUAACAAAAACCCAGUUCCAAUUCAAUACACAAAGCUAAAAUCUUUAACUAGUUUCAGCUCAAAACAGUGAAUUCAAGGACAUAUCCAAACAAAACAAAAUUCCUAAUUUGACCUCAAAGACCAAAACGGUUUCCAAUUUAAGAGCUCGUAUCCGAUUUAAACCCUAAUUUCAACUUCAAAUUCUUAAACCAAAUCCAAUCUUCUGAAUAUAUCAUAAAAACAACCAAAACCCACAUCUAAAAACCAUCGAUUAAAAAGGCCUAAUCUUUACUUCAAACACAAAACUCAAUUCAAAUUCAUCGAACAAACACCAAAAAAACAGAAACCCAGAUCUAACAACGAGCUUUAAACAAUCGAUAUACAAUCAGAAGGCAGUUUAACGCCAAAAAUAGCUAAAAUAAACAGAUCAAAAUAAAUAAAUAAAACUUCGCCACAAAUUUAUAUUUAUCUUCCUUUAACGCUUUACCAGAAGUUUACAGAAACAGAUCUGAAACAGAGCUAACCAAAACUUCUUUCUGAUUUGAUAGUCCGAAGAAAUUAUUUUGAAACCCUAAUCUUGAAAUUUUGAAAAGGCUGCAGCUGAGUUGAAGCUGCUCCUUUGACUCUUCGAUGAGAAUGAAAAGA
Molecule: long non-coding RNA, 4078 nt
Filed under: Nicotiana benthamiana
Lineage: Eukaryota; Viridiplantae; Streptophyta; Magnoliopsida; Solanales; Solanaceae
Description: long non-coding RNA (NBEN_LNC022461)
Source: RNAcentral